Molecule: long non-coding RNA, 1425 nt
Organism: Carassius gibelio (silver crucian carp)
Lineage: Eukaryota; Metazoa; Chordata; Actinopteri; Cypriniformes; Cyprinidae
Exons: 4
Source: RefSeq, a predicted model, not a curated record
UAGCGAGUAACCCCAGAGUGCAGUCUGGACGAUGGGGCGGGGCGACACUUCGAGGCGGAGCGACACGUGUCGCCCCGCCCAUAUUUGUUUUCCCCGCCUUUGACAUUUUCCUCCGAGCCAGCAGGGGGCAGUUUGCGUUGAAACAAACAGAACGGUGGCAACUACAGCAGCAGAGUUAUAACGCUAUUCCGUUGAUUGCUUGAGGAUGACAUGAUCAGGAGGUGGUGGUGUUCUGUUCUCCUGGACAGCUUUACUCCGCAAAUAGCUCAACCACUGAGGGGAGGAACUUCACCAUUCACCAUGUCUUCAGGCAGAGUCCAGCAAAGCAGCUUCCACUGGAAAUCCUCAGGGAAGUUAUUUUGUCGGCGGGUGACUCUGCAUAUCUGACACUUUCUCUGGUUUGCAGAUGGUUUAGGGAUGUGCUCCGAAGUUUUUCGGAAAGCGGCACAGUUUGCCUGGCUAGAGAGUAAGAUUUCCCCGUUUAAUGCUCAUUCUCCAAUUGAAUUUUGUAGUAGAAGGCUGUUAAACUUUUUUUGUAUUAUUAUUAUUAUCUUUCAUGUAUUUUGUCUUUACACUAUAAGUUGUGGCCAACUGGAAGAAUUGUCCUCCUGUCUCCUGACCGUAACGAGUUCAGACGGAUAUACAGCAUCAGGGACUGCUUGCAGUGCAGAGCCCUUUUCAAGUUUAACCCACCAGGGUACAGGGAAGAGACCGGCGUGGUGAUCUUCUGAGCUUUUGUUUACACAGGAUUUUGUUCCAAGGACUGUUUUUUUUUUUUUUUUUCGGCAUGAAACACAUUUGUGUGUUAAAUUCAUUGAGGGGAAAUAGAGAAUGGACUGAGAUCAACUGGUUUUGAUGUAUUAAUUGAUGUCAUUUAAAGUUAAACUUUGCAGUGUAUAAUGUUUUAAUAAAAAAGCUAUGAAAAACACGUGCAUGACAACAGGUUUCAGUCAUUUACAUCAGUCUAUCAUUCUUUAAGGUUUCUCAUAUUUGAUGAUAACAUCAUUUGCUAUGCAUUGCUCAUAAUGGAUUCUUAAUUUAGUUGUGACAGGAUUGUGAGGAUUAAUGAGGUUUUCAGUAGUGCAGUUCAGAAAACAAAUAACAGAAAGUAACAAGUGUUUUUUCCUUGCAAAAAGUAACCAUGGAUUUAUUGUAGUAAAAAUAUUUGUUGGCAUAUUAAUUACUGUGAGCUGUAAUUAUAAAAACACCAUAGUUUUACUAUAGUUACUGUAGCAGAACCAUGGUAAAUUUUCGUAGGGGCCAAGGGAAUGUUCACAAUAUUAUUGGUGACGUUCAGAGACUGGUGACAAUUUGUUACACACACACACACACACACACACACACACAUAUAUAUAUAUGUAUGUAUAUAUAAUUUGAAUAUAUAAAUCAAGGUACUCCAUGACUAUCUACAUAACCAUACUUCGC